CGGGUUGGCCGGAUGGCUGCAGACCGCUUUGCGGUUUGAGGAAAGUCCGUACUCCACAGAGCGCGAAACCGGGGAAAUCCCGGGACGGGGCAACCUGUCAGACAGGGCCACAGAAACAAACCGCCCGUAAGGGUAAGGGUGAAAUGGCGGUGUAAGAGACCACCGGAAACCGCAGUAAUGCGUUUGCCCGGCAACCCUUUUUGGGAGCAAGGUCAAGCAGAGGUGGGUCCAUCCAGGCUGCUCGCCUGACCGGCUUUGCCGGUCACCUCAGGUAGACCGCAUAGAUAGAUAGCCAUCCAGACGUGCAUUGCAUGUCGGACAGAAUACGGCUUACAGGCUGACCCGGUUA
Molecule: RNase P RNA, 349 nt
Filed under: Pelolinea sp.
Lineage: Bacteria; Bacillati; Chloroflexota; Anaerolineae; Anaerolineales; Anaerolineaceae
Description: RNase P RNA component class A
Rfam family: Bacterial RNase P class A
About the family: Ribonuclease P (RNase P) is a ubiquitous endoribonuclease, found in archaea, bacteria and eukarya as well as chloroplasts and mitochondria. Its best characterised activity is the generation of mature 5'-ends of tRNAs by cleaving the 5'-leader elements of precursor-tRNAs. Cellular RNase Ps are ribonucleoproteins.
Source: RNAcentral